Molecule: long non-coding RNA, 369 nt
Filed under: Gossypium barbadense (sea-island cotton)
Lineage: Eukaryota; Viridiplantae; Streptophyta; Magnoliopsida; Malvales; Malvaceae
Description: long non-coding RNA (GBAR_LNC008283)
Source: RNAcentral
UGUCUUUUAAAUAAAAAUGUGUAUCAUUAAAACCUUUAUUAGGAAAAAUUAUGUGGGAUAAAAACCUAAUGAAGGAAAAAGAGUACAUAAUCUCCUAUUACAAGUUGCCUCAUUAAAAACCUUUACCAGGAAAACCCAUUGGGACAAAACCUUAGUUAAAUAGUACAACGUGUUUUAGACUCCCCCUGAUGGCAAUAUUAUAUUAUAUCUUUGAGUCGACGCAUUCCAAUCUUGUUUCGUAGUCUUCCAAAUGUUGAAGUUGAUAAUGUCUUGGUAAAAAAAUCUGCUAAAUUAUCAUUAGAAUGAAUUUGUUGAACUUCUAAAUUAUCACUAAAUUAUCACUAGAAUGAAUUUUCAAGAUCAUGAGUG